RNAcentral lists this ribosomal RNA (117 nucleotides) under Lepisosteus oculatus (spotted gar). The record is from RNAcentral. Lineage: Eukaryota; Metazoa; Chordata; Actinopteri; Semionotiformes; Lepisosteidae.
CCUAACAGCCAUAUCACUCUGUAACUCUCAACUGACUACCCCUUGAAGCUAAGCAGGGUUGAGCCUGGUCAGUGCCUGGAUGGGAGACCUCCUGGGACCCUAUGGUUGCUGCUGGAA